Molecule: ribosomal RNA, 395 nt
Filed under: uncultured bacterium
Lineage: Bacteria
Description: bacterial SSU rRNA
Rfam family: Bacterial small subunit ribosomal RNA
Source: RNAcentral
GGAAUCUUAGACAAUGGGGGCAACCCUGAUCUAGCCAUGCCGCGUGAGUGACGAAGGCCCUAGGGUCGUAAAGCUCUUUCGCCAGGGAUGAUAAUGACAGUACCUAGUAAAGACACCCCGGCUAAACCCGUGCCAGCAGCCGCGGUAAUACGGAGGGGGUUAGCGUUGUUCGGAAUUACUGGGCGUAAAGCGCGCGUAGGCGGGCGGUUAAGUCGGGGGUGAAAUCCCAGGGCUCAACCCUGGAACGGCCCUCGAUACUGGCAGCCUAGAGUUCGAGAGAGGUGAGUGGAAUUCCGAGUGUAGAGGUGAAAUUCGUAGAUAUUCGGAGGAACACCAGUGGCGAAGGCGGCUCACUGGCUCGAUACUGACGCUGAGGUGCGAAAGCGUGGGGAGCA